GAUGAACGCUAGCUACAGGCUUAACACAUGCAAGUCGAGGGACCGGCGCACGGGUGAGUAACACGUGUCCAACCUGCCCUUUACUCGGGGAUAGCCUUUCGCAAGAAAGAUUAAUAACCGAUGACAAGGAUGGGGAUGCGUGCCAUUAGGUUGUGGGUGAGGUAACGGCUCACCAAGCCUUCGAUGGAUAGGGGUGCUGAGAGGAAGGUUCCCCACAUGUGAACUGAGACACGGCCCAAACUACUACGGGAGGCUGCAGUGAGGAAUAUUGGUCAAUGGGCGUUAGCCUGAACCAGCCAAGUAGCGGUAAGGAUGAAGGCUUAUGGGUCGUAAACCUCUUUUAUAUAAGAAUAUUUAUUAUAUGAAUAAUGAUCGGCUAACUCCGUUCCAGCAGCCGCGGUAAUUC
This 406-nucleotide ribosomal RNA is filed under the name uncultured bacterium. Its description in RNAcentral is "partial 16S ribosomal RNA". It matches the Rfam family "Bacterial small subunit ribosomal RNA", at positions 28 to 526 of the family's 1533-position model. The record is from RNAcentral.